AUUUUCCUUUGUCAUCUUUGCCGUUCGCUCUCUUUAGAAAUAAACUUAGCUGAAAAUGUAAAGCAACUAGACUUCGAACUUGAGAUCUCGAGUAUCAACCAUCAAAUUCUUUACCACUUACGCUAGGGACAGUCAGUAACUCGGUGGAUUUAGAGGUAGGGAUGUUUCAAUAUAAUUUGAGAUUGGGAGUCAAAAUGGGACAUAAAUGUCA
This 211-nucleotide long non-coding RNA is filed under the name Ananas comosus (pineapple). Its description in RNAcentral is "long non-coding RNA (ACOM_LNC022066)". Lineage: Eukaryota; Viridiplantae; Streptophyta; Magnoliopsida; Poales; Bromeliaceae. The record is from RNAcentral.